GACGAACGCUGGCGGCGUGCCUAAUACAUGCAAGUAGAACGCACAGUUUAUACCGUAGCUUGCUACACCAUAGACUGUGAGUUGCGAACGGGUGAGUAACGCGUAGGUAACCUGCCUGGUAGCGGGGGAUAACUAUUGGAAACGAUAGCUAAUACCGCAUAAUAUUAAUUAUUGCAUGAUAAUUAAUUGAAAGGUGCAAUUGCACCACUACCAGAUGGACCUGCGUUGUAUUAGCUAGUAGGUGAGGUAACGGCUCACCUAGGCGACGAUACAUAGCCGACCUGAGAGGGUGAUCGGCCACACUGGGACUGAGACACGGCCCAGACUCCUACGGGAGGCAGCAGUAGGGAAUCUUCGGCAAUGGACGAAAGUCUGACCGAGCAACGCCGCGUGAGUGAAGAAGGUUUUCGGAUCGUAAAGCUCUGUUGUAAGAGAAGAACGGGUGUGAGAGUGGAAAGUUCACACUGCGACGGUAGCUUACCAGAAAGGGACGGCUAACUACGUG
Molecule: ribosomal RNA, 505 nt
Filed under: uncultured bacterium
Lineage: Bacteria
Description: partial 16S ribosomal RNA
Rfam family: Bacterial small subunit ribosomal RNA
Source: RNAcentral